GACGAACGCUGGCGGCGUGCUUAACACAUGCAAGUCGAACGGAAAGGCCCUGCUUUUGUGGGGUGCUCGAGUGGCGAACGGGUGAGUAACACGUGAGUAACCUGCCCUUGACUUUGGGAUAACUUCAGGAAACUGGGGCUAAUACCGGAUAGGAGCUCCUGCUGCAUGGUGGGGGUUGGAAAGUUUCGGCGGUUGGGGAUGGACUCGCGGCUUAUCAGCUUGUUGGUGGGGUAGUGGCUUACCAAGGCUUUGACGGGUAGCCGGCCUGGGAGGGUGACCUGCCACAUUAGGACUGAGAUACGGACCAGACUCCUACGGGAGGCAGCAGGGGGGAAUAUUGCAGAAUGGGCGGAAGCCUGAUGCAGCAACGCCGCGUGCGGGAUGACGGCCUUCGGGUUGUAAACCGCUUUCGCCUGUGACGAAGCGUGAGUGACGGUAAUGGGUAAAGAAGCACCGGCUAACUACGUG
Molecule: ribosomal RNA, 468 nt
Filed under: uncultured bacterium
Lineage: Bacteria
Description: partial 16S ribosomal RNA
Rfam family: Bacterial small subunit ribosomal RNA
Source: RNAcentral